GACUAGAGUUUGAUCCUGGCUCAGAACGAACGUUAGCGGCGCGCCUAAUACAUGCAAGUCGUGCGAAGAAAGGGCUUCGGCCCCAGUAAAGCGGCGCACGGGUGAGUAACACGUAGGUGAUCUCCCCCGAGUGGUGGAUAACCCUCCGAAAGGAGGCUAAUACAGCAUGAGACCACGGUUCUACGGAACUGCGGUCAAAGCAGGCCUCUUCAUGAAAGCUUGCGCUCAGGGAUGAGCCUGCGGCCCAUCAGCUAGUUGGUAAGGUAACGGCUUACCAAGGCUAAGACGGGUAGCUGGUCUGAGAGGAUGAGCAGCCACACUGGAACUGAAACACGGUCCAGACUCCUACGGGAGGCAGCAGUAGGGAAUCUUGCGCAAUGACGAAAGUCUGACGCAGCGACGCCGCGUGAGCGAUGAAGGCCUUCGGGUUGUAAAGCUCUGUGGGGAGAGACGAAUAAGGCAUGGCUAACAUCCAUGUCGAUGACGGUAUCUCCUUAGCAAGCACCGGCUAACUCUGUGCCAGCAGCCGCGGUAA
This 535-nucleotide ribosomal RNA is filed under the name uncultured delta proteobacterium. RNAcentral describes it as "bacterial SSU rRNA". It matches the Rfam family "Bacterial small subunit ribosomal RNA", at positions 1 to 523 of the family's 1533-position model. Lineage: Bacteria; Deltaproteobacteria. The record is from RNAcentral.